CGGGCGCGGCGAACGGUCUAAGUCCCUUGGAACGGGGCGUCGUAGAGGGUGAGAAUCCCGUAUGUGACCGGCGACCAAGCCCAUGUGAAACCCCUUCGACGAGUCGAGUUGUUUGGGAAUGCAGCUCCAAAUGGGUGGUAAAUUUCAUCUAAAGCUAAAUACCGGCCAGAGACCGAUAGCGCACAAGUAGAGUGAUCGAAAGAUGAAAAGCACUUUGGAAAGAGAGUCAAACAGUACGUGAAAUUGUUGAAAGGGAAGCGCUUGCACCCAGACCUGCCCGCGGGCGAUCAGCCAUCCCUUCGGGGGUGGUGCACUCGACCGCGAUCAGGCCAGCAUCGGUUCGGGCGGCCGGACAAAGGCCUUGGGAACGUAGCUCCUCUCGGGGAGUGUUAUAGCCCUCGGUGCAAUGCGGCCCGCCUGGACCGAGGACCGCGCUUCGGCUAGGAUGCUGGCGUAAUGGUUGUAAGCGGCCCGUCUUGAAACACGGACCAAGGAGUCUAACAUCUAUGCGAGUGUUCGGGUGUCAAACCCGUGCGCGUAAUGAAAGUGAACGGAGGUGGGAACCCGUUCGGGCGCACCAUCGACCGAUCCAGAUGUCUUCGGAUGGAUUUGAGUACGAGCAUAGCCGUUGGGACCCGAAAGAUGGUGAACUAUACUUGAAUAGGGUGAAGCCAGAGGAAACUCUGGUGGAGGCUCGCAGCGGUUCUGACGUGCAAAUCGAUCGUCAAAUUUGAGUAUAGGGGCGAAAGACUAAUCGAACCAUC
This 764-nucleotide ribosomal RNA is filed under the name Leproplaca obliterans. RNAcentral describes it as "LSU rRNA". It matches the Rfam family "Eukaryotic large subunit ribosomal RNA", at positions 165 to 944 of the family's 3401-position model. The record is from RNAcentral. Lineage: Eukaryota; Fungi; Ascomycota; Lecanoromycetes; Teloschistales; Teloschistaceae.